This 254-nucleotide ribosomal RNA is filed under the name uncultured bacterium. RNAcentral's name for it is "partial 16S ribosomal RNA". It matches the Rfam family "Bacterial small subunit ribosomal RNA", at positions 524 to 776 of the family's 1533-position model. The record is from RNAcentral.
UACGAAGGGGGCUAGCGUUGCUCGGAAUCACUGGGCGUAAAGCGCACGUAGGCGGACUCUUAAGUCAGGGGUGAAAUCCUGGAGCUCAACUCCAGAACUGCCUUUGAUACUGGGAGUCUCGAGUUCGGGAGAGGUGAGUGGAACUGCGAGUGUAGAGGUGAAAUUCGUAGAUAUUCGCAAGAACACCAGUGGCGAAGGCGGCUCACUGGCCCGGAUACUGACGCUGAGGCACGAAAGCGUGGGGAGCAAACAGG